UUUAAAUUUAGAGUUUGAUCCUGGCUCAGGACGAACGCUGGCGGCGUGCUUAACACAUGCAAGUCGAGCGAUGAAGCUUCCUUCGGGAAGUGGAUUAGCGGCGGACGGGUGAGUAACACGUGGGUAACCUGCCUCAAAGUGGGGGAUAGCCUUCCGAAAGGAAGAUUAAUACCGCAUAAUAUAAGAGAAUCGCAUGAUUUUUUUAUCAAAGAUUUAUUGCUUUGAGAUGGACCCGCGGCGCAUUAGCUAGUUGGUAAGGUAACGGCUUACCAAGGCAACGAUGCGUAGCCGACCUGAGAGGGUGAUCGGCCACAUUGGAACUGAGACACGGUCCAGACUCCUACG
This 345-nucleotide ribosomal RNA is filed under the name Clostridium botulinum. RNAcentral's name for it is "bacterial SSU rRNA". It matches the Rfam family "Bacterial small subunit ribosomal RNA", at positions 1 to 343 of the family's 1533-position model. Lineage: Bacteria; Bacillati; Bacillota; Clostridia; Eubacteriales; Clostridiaceae. The record is from RNAcentral.